CUGGAGUCCAUAGUGGGAGAAGAUUUUUCUGCAGCAGACACUCACUCUCCCUGAUCUGCUUCAGUCGACUGCAGGCCUGUCUUUAUCUCCAUUCUUCUCCAAUUUCCACACAAGGACAGACCUGGCAGUCCACAUCAAAAUUGUUCACCAUAUAUAGGGCUUUUACUUUGCUAUAGCAUUCCAGAGCUAAACAUGCAUGGAUCACCAGUUAGAGUGCCCCAAAGUGGAGCUCGAUUCCCUAAGACCAUAGAUUCAGUUAACUGAAACUGAACUCCCUUUACACAGUCUGACAGAUCGACUUUGAGGGCACUUUACUCCUUAUUUUGCACAGCAUCAAGCCCCUCUCUUUUAAGCAAAGUUACACACUAAUAGAUGCUCUUCAACUUUGUCAUAAGCAGUAUGGCCUAAUACCUUAAGAAUCAAGCACCAGAGAGCUCCAAAAUUGAGCCAAACACACAUUUUCAGUGUGCUAAAAUGGGCUAAGUCUGAAUCCAGAUUUAAAACAUUGAAUCUUUGGACCACUGAAUCCAAAUGGUUUUAGUGGUAUUAUCCUUAAUCAAACUUGUACACCAAAGUAUGGACUUCUACUUUGGUACAGAACUUAUAAACCAGAACUAUGAGGAUCAGCCCUUAAGGAGCAUCCCAAAACUGCUUCAGACUGCAAAACCCAGUAGGUCUGAAAUUUGCCCAAGUCUGAUUUUCAAAACUGAACAUUCCAUUUUUGAGCUUCCUUUUCUACCAGUUCCAUAUGGAUUUAGGGUUAGGUGAUUUAAUCAAGUAUGUACGAGGCGCAGCUGAGUUUGGCACUGAAAGGGAACCUGAUGCCCGAGUCUUGUGUUGCGCCCUAGUACCAUCUCCAAGUAUGCGAUGAAUCCGGAUGCUGUUGCCCCAGGUGAGAACUGAUAAUGAUAGUUAGCUUUGGUGAGUUGAGGCAGCAUGAAGGCAUCACACCGUUGAUUUAAUAAAGCUGGAAAACCAAAUCUGUUGUGCUUCCUUAAUUAAUGCUUGCCGUUCAAACCUGCUGCUUUUUUUUUAAUUUCACAGUUGUUUUUAAUAAAUUUUUGUUUGCUACUUGAUACUCUUAUGUAUGCAACUUAAUGGGCUGAUCGUAACUGUGUGUUUGCGGUUCAA
This is a long non-coding RNA of Zea mays, 1131 nucleotides long. RefSeq lists it as uncharacterized. NCBI's taxonomy places the organism in Eukaryota, Viridiplantae, Streptophyta, Magnoliopsida, Poales, Poaceae. The transcript has 2 exons. The record is from RefSeq and is a predicted model, not a curated record.